AAUGUGUCUCAGAUUGGUGU
RNAcentral lists this microRNA (20 nucleotides) under Sarcophilus harrisii (Tasmanian devil). Its description in RNAcentral is "Sha-Mir-12475-P29_3p* (star (passenger))". Lineage: Eukaryota; Metazoa; Chordata; Mammalia; Dasyuromorphia; Dasyuridae. The record is from RNAcentral.